RNAcentral lists this microRNA precursor (61 nucleotides) under Pristionchus pacificus. Its description in RNAcentral is "mir-8364 microRNA precursor family". It matches the Rfam family "mir-8364 microRNA precursor family". Lineage: Eukaryota; Metazoa; Nematoda; Chromadorea; Rhabditida; Neodiplogasteridae. The record is from Rfam by way of RNAcentral.
UCUUCAUUUCCCACACUCUCUCGCCCCUCUGACCGAUGAGAGAGCGCGAGAAAUGGAGAGA